GACGAACGCUGGCGGCGUGCCUAAUACAUGCAAGUCGAACGCUGAAGGAGGAGCUUGCUUCUCUGGACGAGUUGCGAACGGGUGAGUAACGCGUAGGUAACCUGCCUGGUAGCGGGGGAUAACUAUUGGAAACGAUAGCUAAUACCGCAUAAUAGUAGAUGUUGCAUGACAUUUGCUUAAAAGGUGCAAUUGCAUCACUACUAGAUGGACCUGCGUUGUAUUAGCUAGUUGGUGGGGUAACGGCUCACCAAGGCGACGAUACAGAGCCGACCUGGGAGGGGGAUCGGCCACACUGGGAAUGGGACACGGCCCAGGCUCCUACGGGAAGCAGCAGUAGGGAAACUUCGGCAAAGGACGGAAGGCUGACCGAAGAACGCCGCGUGGGUGAAGAAGGGUUUCGGAUCGUAAAGCUCUGUUGUAAGAGAAGAACGAGUGUGAGAGUGGAAAGUUCACACUGUGACGGUAUCUUAUCAGAAAGGGACGGCUAACUACGUG
This 495-nucleotide ribosomal RNA is filed under the name uncultured bacterium. Its description in RNAcentral is "partial 16S ribosomal RNA". It matches the Rfam family "Bacterial small subunit ribosomal RNA", at positions 28 to 507 of the family's 1533-position model. The record is from RNAcentral.